Molecule: ribosomal RNA, 404 nt
Filed under: uncultured prokaryote
Description: bacterial SSU rRNA
Rfam family: Bacterial small subunit ribosomal RNA
Source: RNAcentral
UGGGGAAUAUUGCGCAAUGGGGGAAACCCUGACGCAGCAACGCCGCGUGAAGGAUGAAGGUUUUCGGAUCGUAAACUUCUUUGAUGGGGGACGAAAAAAAUGACGGUACCCCAAAAACAAGCCACGGCUAACUACGUGCCAGCAGCCGCGGUAAUACGUAGGUGGCGAGCGUUGUCCGGAUUUACUGGGUGUAAAGGGUGCGUAGGUGGUUUCUUAAGUCAGAGGUGAAAGGCUACGGCUCAACCGUAGUAAGCCUUUGAAACUGGGAAACUUGAGUGCAGGAGAGGAGAGUGGAACUCCUAGUGUAGCGGUGAAAUGCGUAGAUAUUAGGAGGAACACCAGUUGCGAAGGCGGCUCUCUGGACUGUAACUGACACUGAGGCACGAAAGCGUGGGGAGCAAACA